This 215-nucleotide long non-coding RNA is filed under the name Elaeis guineensis (African oil palm). RNAcentral describes it as "long non-coding RNA (EGUI_LNC011528)". Lineage: Eukaryota; Viridiplantae; Streptophyta; Magnoliopsida; Arecales; Arecaceae. The record is from RNAcentral.
AUGUAGGGUGAAAUAUAAGGAUGUUGACCAAAACUCCAAAGAUGCAGUCCAAAAUACUAAGGAUGCAAGCUGAUACAUCAAGGAUUUAGACCGAUACAUCAAGGAUACAAGUCAACACACCAAGAGAUGAACAAAUUGAAAUAUCAAGUCUAUAGGCUAAAACAUUAAGGUGCAAAUUGAUGCACCAAGAGUUUAGAUUGAUAUAUUAAGGGAGG